This is a long non-coding RNA of Orbicella faveolata, 826 nucleotides long. RefSeq lists it as uncharacterized. The record is from RefSeq and is a predicted model, not a curated record. NCBI's taxonomy places the organism in Eukaryota, Metazoa, Cnidaria, Anthozoa, Scleractinia, Merulinidae.
CAUUUCUAGGUCCCUCAGGCUGCAAAAUAAAACCAGAGGAUGUGUGGCAUUCCUUGAUUCACCUCCAUUUAGGACAGCUACAGCCAAAGCGCUGUUUAAUAGAUACCAGGAGGAGAGGCGUGUCGGCUGGAAAAGACUGAUGUGCCACCGCUUUGUCUUAAUUCACAACCGACUGACACAUCCCUGGUGAAGUGCUGGAAUAUACAUAACACUAACCCACACAUAGAGUACAAACAGAAGCAUAUCACCUAGUUCAAGGUGAUAUGCUUCUGGUACAAAACAUAGUGUUAAAUAGUUUCCUAAAUUUUCUUUUACAAUGUCUUGGUUGCUGUCUUCCUCUGCACCCCUCUGAAGUUACAUUGAGAACAGAAAGAUUUAAAAUUUGUUAUGUACGCUGGAAAAGAUUUACCUUAAAUCACUCACACCAAUAUGCUUCUGAAGGGGAUAUCAUAUUAAUUAUAACUGAUUUUUCUGCGUACUUUGGACCAAAACCAUCUUCACCCUCUAUUGAUUUCUGAUUUAUAUCGAGGAGUAGAAUGUCCGCAUUUUCAGGAAAUUCCCGUGGAGUGGGAGGUGAGGCAAAGGCCCCACAAGGAUGUUUUGUCCUUAAGCGCUAAGAGACAAAUCUAUACCUUCACCAGCUUUGUCAGUGGAAUGAGCUACCAGCUUUGUGGUAGUGCAGAAAAACUGCUUUGUAGAAAUAAUAAAGAUCUUGUGUUAAUGAAAUGUGCAAGAAUCGUAAGAACAUCACUGUAAUUUUAAUUAGUACAAACACUAGCGACUGUGUAAAACAAUUUAUUAAAAUAAGGAUCACUGGAUAAUCCAA